Molecule: ribosomal RNA, 507 nt
Filed under: uncultured bacterium
Lineage: Bacteria
Description: bacterial SSU rRNA
Rfam family: Bacterial small subunit ribosomal RNA
Source: RNAcentral
AACGAACGCUGGCGGCAUGCCUAACACAUGCAAGUCGAACGAGACCUUCGGGUCUAGUGGCGCACGGGUGCGUAACGCGUGGGAAUCUGCCCAAAGGUUCGGAAUAACUCGGGGAAACCCGUGCUAAUACCGGAUGAUGUCUUCGGACCAAAGAUUUAUCGCCUUUGGAUGAGCCCGCGUCGGAUUAGCUAGUUGGUGAGGUAAAGGCUCACCAAGGCGACGAUCCGUAGCUGGUCUGAGAGGAUGACCAGCCACACUGGGACUGAGACACGGCCCAGACUCCUACGGGAGGCAGCAGUGGGGAAUAUUGGACAAUGGGCGAAAGCCUGAUCCAGCAAUGCCGCGUGAGUGAUGAAGGCCUUAGGGUUGUAAAGCUCUUUUACCCGGGAUGAUAAUGACAGUACCGGGAGAAUAAGCCCCGGCUAACUCCGUGCCAGCAGCCGCGGUAAUACGGAGGGGCUAGCGUUGUUCGGAAUUACUGGCGUAAAGCGCACGUAGGCGGCUUUG